Molecule: ribosomal RNA, 238 nt
Filed under: uncultured bacterium
Lineage: Bacteria
Description: partial 16S ribosomal RNA
Rfam family: Bacterial small subunit ribosomal RNA
Source: RNAcentral
CCGCACGGGUGAGUAACACGUAUCCAACCUGCCGUCUACUCUUGGCCAGCCUUCUGAAAGGAAGAUUAAUCCAGGAUGGCAUCAUGAGUUCACAUGUCCGCAUGAUUAAAGGUAUUUUCCGGUAGACGAUGGGGAUGCGUUCCAUUAGAUAGUAGGCGGGGUAACGGCCCACCAAACCGACGAUGGAUAGGGGUUCUGAGAGGAAGGUCCCCCACAUUGGUACUGAGACACGAACCAA